RNAcentral lists this non-coding RNA (87 nucleotides) under Rhodovulum marinum. The record is from RNAcentral. Lineage: Bacteria; Pseudomonadati; Pseudomonadota; Alphaproteobacteria; Rhodobacterales; Paracoccaceae.
UUUUAUGGUCGGGCGGGGCAGGAGCUCCUUCGGGGGCGCCGCUUCCUAAGGGCGGUAAGGCCAAUCCUGUUCCGUCCGGCCACCCGG